GGGCACAUGGUGUAGUUGGUUAUCACGCCCGCUUAGCACAAGAGUAUUUGCGUGCUCAAAAUACAUCAUGCGGGUGAUCCUCGGUUCAAUUCCGGGUGCGUCCA
This is a non-coding RNA of Sphagnurus paluster, 104 nucleotides long. The record is from the annotation of a GenBank genome assembly. NCBI's taxonomy places the organism in Eukaryota, Fungi, Basidiomycota, Agaricomycetes, Agaricales, Lyophyllaceae.